CAAUAGCGUAUAUUAAAGUUGUUGCAGUUAAAAGCUCGUAGUUGGAUCUCAGGUUCCGGCUUGCGGUCCGCUUCACGGCGGUACUGCUCGUCCUGACCUAGCCGCCGGUUGUCCCGCUAUCCUCUUCGCUGAGUGUAGCGGGUGGCCGGAACGUUUACUUUGAAAAAUUAGAGUGUUCAAAGCAGGCCGUUUGCCUGAAUAAUGGUGCAUGGAAUAAUGGAAUAGGACCUCGGUUCUAUUUUGUUGGUUUUCGGAAGUUGAGGUAAUGAUUAAGAGGGACAGACGGGGGCAUUCGUAUUACGGUGUUAGAGGUGAAAUUCUUGGAUCGCCGUAAGACGAACUACUGCGAAAGCAUUUGCCAAGAAUGUUUUCAUUAAUCAAGAACGAAAGUCAGAGGUUCGAAGACGAUUAGAUACCAU
This 419-nucleotide ribosomal RNA is filed under the name uncultured eukaryote. RNAcentral's name for it is "SSU rRNA". It matches the Rfam family "Eukaryotic small subunit ribosomal RNA", at positions 592 to 1018 of the family's 1831-position model. The record is from RNAcentral.